AUAACAGUUGGAAACGACUGCUAAUACCAAAUACGCCCUUCGGGGGAAAGAUUUAUCGCUAAAGGAUCGGCCCGCGUGAGAUUAGGUAGUUGGUGGGGUAAUGGCCUACCAAGCCUACGAUCUCUAGCUGGUCUGAGAGGAUGAUCAGCCACACUGGAACUGAGACACGGUCCAGACUCCUACGGGAGGCAGCAGUGGGGAAUAUUGGACAAUGGGCGCAAGCCUGAUCCAGCCAUGCCGCGUGAACGAUGAAGGCCUUAGGGUUGUAAAGUUCUUUUGUCAGGGAAGAUAAUGACGGUACCUGAAGAAUAAGCACCGGCUAACUUCGUGCCAGCAGCCGCGGUAAUACGAAGGGUGCUAGCGUUGUUCGGAAUCACUGGGCGUAAAGCGCGCGUAGGCGGCUUAACAAGUCAGAGGUGAAAGCCUGGAGCUCAACUCCAGAACUGCCUUUGAAACUGUUAAGCUUGAGUGUCGGAGGGGAUAGCGGAAUUUCUAAUGUAGAGGUGAAAUUCGUAGAUAUUAGAAGGAACACCGGUGGCGAAGGCGGCUAUCUGGACGACAACUGACGCUGAGGCGCGAAAGCGUGGGGAUCAAACAGGAUUAGAUACCCUGGUAGUCCA
This 620-nucleotide ribosomal RNA is filed under the name uncultured bacterium. Its description in RNAcentral is "bacterial SSU rRNA". It matches the Rfam family "Bacterial small subunit ribosomal RNA", at positions 143 to 797 of the family's 1533-position model. The record is from RNAcentral.